GACGAACGCUGGCGGCGUGCUUAACACAUGCAAGUCGAACGGUGAAGGGGUCUGCUUUUGUGGGCCCUGGAUGAGUGGCGAACGGGUGAGUAACACGUGAGUAACCUGCCCCCUUCUUCUGGAUAACCGCAUGAAAGUGUGGCUAAUACGGGAUAUUCUGGGUCUGUCGCAUGAUGGGUCUGGGAAAGAUUGCGCCUUUGGGUGUUUUUGGUGGGGGAUGGGCUCGCGGCCUAUCAGCUUGUUGGUGGGGUGAUGGCCUACCAAGGCGGUGACGGGUAGCCGGCCUGAGAGGGUGGACGGUCACACUGGGACUGAGACACGGCCCAGACUCCUACGGGAGGCAGCAGUGGGGAAUAGUGCACAAUGGGCGCAAGCCUGAUGCAGCGACGCCGCGUGAGGGAGGGAGGCCUUCGGGUUGUAAACCUCUUUCGCCAGUGAAGCAGGCCUGCUCCUUGUGGGUGGGUUGACGGUAGCUGGAUAAGAAGCGCCGGCUAACUACGUG
Molecule: ribosomal RNA, 502 nt
Filed under: uncultured bacterium
Lineage: Bacteria
Description: partial 16S ribosomal RNA
Rfam family: Bacterial small subunit ribosomal RNA
Source: RNAcentral